Paramuricea clavata is the source of this 78-nucleotide non-coding RNA. The record is from the annotation of a GenBank genome assembly. NCBI's taxonomy places the organism in Eukaryota, Metazoa, Cnidaria, Anthozoa, Malacalcyonacea, Plexauridae.
GAAUAUUUUCACGAAACGUUUGUUCGCCACCACAGCAAACUUGCUGUGGUGGCGAACAAACGUUUCGUGAAAAUAUUC